RNAcentral lists this ribosomal RNA (426 nucleotides) under uncultured bacterium. RNAcentral describes it as "partial 16S ribosomal RNA". It matches the Rfam family "Bacterial small subunit ribosomal RNA", at positions 354 to 796 of the family's 1533-position model. The record is from RNAcentral.
GUGGGGAAUCUUGCGCAAUGGGCGAAAGCCUGACGCAGCAACGCCGCGUGCGGGAUGAAGGCCUUCGGGUUGUAAACCGCUUUCAGCAGGGAAGAAAUUGACGGUACCUGCAGAAGAAGCCCCGGCCAACUACGUGCCAGCAGCCGCGGUAACACGUAGGGGGCGAGCGUUGUCCGGAUUUAUUGGGCGUAAAGAGCUCGUAGGCGGUUCGCUAAGUCGGGUGUGAAACCUCCAGGCUCAACCUGGAGACGCCACCUGAUACUGGUGUGACUAGAGUCCGGUAGGGGAGGGUGGAACUCCUGGUGUAGCGGUGAAAUGCGCAGAGAUCAGGAAGAACACCAGGGGCGAAGGCGGCACUCUGGGCCGGUACUGACGCUGAGGAGCGAAAGCGUGGGUAGCAAACAGGAUUAGAAACCCUUGUAGUCC